Molecule: long non-coding RNA, 499 nt
Organism: Gadus morhua (Atlantic cod)
Lineage: Eukaryota; Metazoa; Chordata; Actinopteri; Gadiformes; Gadidae
Exons: 2
Source: RefSeq, a predicted model, not a curated record
UGGGACCUUGUCGUCACAGCUGGUAUGGCCAACCUCAAUGUCUCGGUCGACGAGACUGUGUCGCCCUGCAUCUCUCUAAAUGAAGUGCGCCAUCUCCUAAAUAAAACCGUGCUGGAGACUUUCUUCUGGGUCCCUAAAAUUAACUGGAAGAAACGCCCCACACCCGAAGGACCGAAUGGCCAACUGUCAGAUAGUCAAUACCGACUUGUGGCUUAUCGAGUCAUUCUGGAGUGGGCCCUCAAAGGUCAACCACUGGGACGAGGAAAUCGCCUUGCAUUACCCAGUUGCGUGGUGUGGGCUGUUAUGGAUGCGUUCCCAUCCCCCACUGGACAGUAUGCUGGGUUUAAACCCAGUGAGAUAGAGGAAUUAUUCUGAAUUCAUUAUUUUUAUUCUUAUUCCAAUGUAUAUCUUACCCUUCUGUUCCUACCUUCUGUUCCUACCUAACUGCAUUGCGUUUACUUUUUAAUUUCUUCUCAAUAAAAAAACUUUUGUUCAAAAA